CCAGCAGGGACCCGGCGACCCUGCAAGAGGCCGCCGGGAUCGGCACCAUUCC
This 52-nucleotide non-coding RNA is filed under the name Alexandrium tamarense. Lineage: Eukaryota; Dinophyceae; Gonyaulacales; Pyrocystaceae. The record is from RNAcentral.